This is a non-coding RNA of Ciona intestinalis (vase tunicate), 648 nucleotides long. NCBI's taxonomy places the organism in Eukaryota, Metazoa, Chordata, Ascidiacea, Phlebobranchia, Cionidae. The record is from RefSeq and is a predicted model, not a curated record.
UGGAAGAUAUAUCCAGGAAAAUAAUGGGAAUCGGCAAAACAAAAUACAGCUUAAUAUAAAUGCACCACUGGAUGAGAAUGCUACACACUGGUUAGCCCGGUGUCUUUCUAAUUCCAAUACGUAUAUAUAUCACAAUCUGCAUUGUUACAAUAUGAAUGCACUUUGUUACAUCUUGCUUACCCACGCUCCAUUACAGCUUGGUGUCGUAACUUCAGCAAUAGAAAGAUGGCUUGUAUAAUAGUAACAACCACAAAUAGUUUGUACGGCUACCAUUAUAUUAUUGUACAUGAGUUGGUGUGUAUCAUAUUUAUUCUAACUUUAACUAAACUGCUUAGAUACAAAUAUGGAUGUAUGGUCCUGAAGUCAUACAUGUGAGACCAUUGUUCCAAUGUCUUGAUAAAAUAUCGAAACUAUAUCUUGAUAUGAGACAUCUUACAAGGAAAGAUAAUCGUUUACUGGAAGAAGCAACUCAACGAUUACAUUCUCCACAGGAUUUUGUCUUGAAGGAAAUAGUUGAUGAAGAUACUGAUAAUGAUCAGUAUUGGGCUCAGUAUUUAAACUUUUGGAACCAAUGACUUGAUUUUUAUAUUUUCCACUAUUUUUUACUUUUUUUAUCAUAAGAACACAUUAAAAAUAUUUAAAAAUAAA